GUCCACGCCGUAAACGUUGCAUACUCGAUCUUAGCGAUACACAGUUAGGAUCCAAGCGAAAGCGUUAAGUAUGCCACCUGGGAAGUACGUUCGCAAGAAUGAAACUCAAAGGAAUUGACGGGGGCCCGCACAAGCGGAGGAGCAUGUGGUUUAAUUCGAUGAUACGCGAGGAACCUUACCUGGGCUUGAAUGUGAGUGACCUAUGCCGAAAGGUAUCUUCCCUUCGGGGCACAAACAAGGUGCUGCAUGGCUGUCGU
This 257-nucleotide ribosomal RNA is filed under the name uncultured bacterium. RNAcentral's name for it is "partial 16S ribosomal RNA". It matches the Rfam family "Bacterial small subunit ribosomal RNA", at positions 793 to 1055 of the family's 1533-position model. The record is from RNAcentral.